GAGAGAGCAUCUCACUCCCUCACCCAGGCUGGAGUACAGAGGUGGCUCACUGCAACCUCCACCUCCUGGGCUCAAGCGAUUCUCCUGCCUCAGCCUCCUGAGUAGCUGGGAUUACGGGCAUCCGCCACCAUUCCUGGCUAAUUUUUGUAUUUUUAGUAAAGACGGGGUUUCACCAUAUUGGCCAGGCUGGUCUCGAGCUCCCAGCCUCAGGUGAUCCGCCUGCCUCACCCUCCCAAAGUGCUGGUAUUACAGGUGUGAGCCACCACACCCGGCCAAUUUCCACACUUUAAUUUCACUCAAGUAAAAGCAGGAUCACAUUCCUGACAUAAGAACUAAUAUUUCACAUCAUUAGUUUGGAUUCGAUAUGUUCUUGAUUGGUUGUUUCUCGGGAAUAGUAACUCAUCUUUCCUACGUGUUAUUUCUCUUUUAUUGAUUGAGGAAAUAAAUGUAAUGACCAUCAUA
This 462-nucleotide long non-coding RNA is filed under the name Homo sapiens (human). Its description in RNAcentral is "HSALNT0317545". Lineage: Eukaryota; Metazoa; Chordata; Mammalia; Primates; Hominidae. The record is from RNAcentral.